CAGUAGCCGCGGGAACACGUAGGUGGCAAGCGUUGUCCGGAAUUAUUGGGCGUAAAGCGCGCGCAGGUGGUUUAAUAAGUCUGAUGUGAAAGCCCACGGCUCAACCGUGGAGGGUCAUUGGAAACUGUUAAACUUGAGUGCAGGAGAGAAAAGUGGAAUUCCUAGUGUAGCGGUGAAAUGCGUAGAGAUUAGGAGGAACACCAGUGGCGAAGGCGGCUUUUUGGCCUGUAACUGACACUGAGGCGCGAAAGCGUGGGGAGCAAACAGGAUUAGAUACCCCCGUAGUCCCUGUCUCUUAUAC
Molecule: ribosomal RNA, 301 nt
Filed under: uncultured bacterium
Lineage: Bacteria
Description: partial 16S ribosomal RNA
Rfam family: Bacterial small subunit ribosomal RNA
Source: RNAcentral